UUUGCUUUUAUUAACUAUUAUUGCUAAAGUUUAUGAUUGCGAUCAUUUCACCGUGAAUAAUUUUGUUUCCUGCAGGUGGAUCGUAUCAUCUUCUGCGUCUUUUUGGAGGUUGACUAUAAAAUUUUCAAGAAGAAAAUGGGCGAGUUUUUCCCUCUAGAUGAUGCAAAUGAAGAAGGGACUGAGCUGAGUGAAGAGACAGGAUUGGAACAAAAAGGCCAAGCUCCAUCUCCCACAAAGAGCAAAGCAGAGCAGCCUGCGGACCUCCAAGAUGAUGCUGAAGGUGGUAACAGCACAGAGGAGAAGCAAAACGCUGAAGAAACCGAGGCCCAGAGCCAAGAAACAGGUUUGUGCCGAGUUUCUUAAAGGACUUUGUGAGGUUUUGUCCACCUCGGUGAAAAGUAACCUUAGUCAAU
RNAcentral lists this long non-coding RNA (413 nucleotides) under Athene cunicularia (burrowing owl). RNAcentral's name for it is "lncRNA (ENSACUG00000012444.1)". Lineage: Eukaryota; Metazoa; Chordata; Aves; Strigiformes; Strigidae. The record is from RNAcentral.